GGGUGAGUAAUGCUUAGGAAUCUGCCUAUUAGUGGGGGACAACAUCUCGAAAGGGAUGCUAAUACCGCAUACGUCCUACGGGAGAAAGCAGGGGACCUUCGGGCCUUGCGCUAAUAGAUGAGCCUAAGUCGGAUUAGCUAGUUGGUGGGGUAAAGGCCUACCAAGGCGACGAUCUGUAGCGGGUCUGAGAGGAUGAUCCGCCACACUGGGACUGAGACACGGCCCAGACUCCUACGGGAGGCAGCAGUGGGGAAUAUUGGACAAUGGGGGGGAACCCUGAUCCAGCCAUGCCGCGUGUGUGAAGAAGGCCUUUUGGUUGUAAAGCACUUUAAGCGAGGAGGAGGCUACCGAGACUAAUACUCUUGGAUAGUGGACGUUACUCGCAGAAUAAGCACCGGCUAACUCUGUGCCAGCAGCCGCGGUAAUACAGAGGGUGCGAGCGUUAAUCGGAUUUACUGGGCGUAAAGCGUGCGUAGGCGGCUUUUUAAGUCGGAUGUGAAAUCCCUGAGCUUAACUUAGGAAUUGCAUUCGAUACUGGGAAGCUAGAGUAUGGGAGAGGAUGGUAGAAUUCCAGGUGUAGCGGUGAAAUGCGUAGAGAUCUGGAGGAAUACCGAUGGCGAAGGCAGCCAUCUGGCCUAAUACUGACGCUGAGGUACGAAAGCAUGGGGAGCAAACAGGAUUAGAUACC
RNAcentral lists this ribosomal RNA (688 nucleotides) under Acinetobacter sp. GA52. RNAcentral describes it as "bacterial SSU rRNA". It matches the Rfam family "Bacterial small subunit ribosomal RNA", at positions 104 to 786 of the family's 1533-position model. Lineage: Bacteria; Pseudomonadati; Pseudomonadota; Gammaproteobacteria; Moraxellales; Moraxellaceae. The record is from RNAcentral.